RNAcentral lists this long non-coding RNA (203 nucleotides) under Glycine max (soybean). RNAcentral's name for it is "long non-coding RNA (GMAX_LNC003571)". The record is from RNAcentral. Lineage: Eukaryota; Viridiplantae; Streptophyta; Magnoliopsida; Fabales; Fabaceae.
CUCUCAUUCUUUCUUUAGUAUUGUUCAAGAUAUUAAACAUUUUAUUUUCAAAGGGGGACCUUUCACUCGUCUUAUGUUUUCUGAGAAGCCAACCAAGUAACGGAAUCUCCUUAGGGGAGAGACAUGCGAGUUUUUCUUAAUGUAACUCCAUCUUAUAUUUCCUCAGCCGUGAUGGCUCAUGUUUCUUCCACUGCGUUUCUACA